AACGAACGCUGGCGGCAUGCCUAACACAUGCAAGUCGAACGAGGCCUUCGGGUCUAGUGGCGCACGGGUGCGUGACGCGUGGGAACCUGCCCUUAGGUUCGGAAUACCUCCCCGAAAGGGGUGCUAAUACCGGAUAAUGUCUUCGGACCAAAGAUUUAUCGCCUUUGGAUGGGCCCGCGUUGGAUUAGCUAGUUGGUAGGGUAAAAGCCUACCACGGCGACGAUCCAUAGCUGGUCUGAGAGGAUGGUCAGCCACACUGGGACUGAGACACGGCCCAGACUCCUACGGGAGGCAGCAGUGGGGAAUAUUGGACAAUGGGCGAAAGCCUGAUCCAGCAAGGCCGCGUGAGUGAUGAAGGCCUGAGGGUUGUAAAGCUCUUUUACCCGGGAUGAUAAUGACAGUACCGGGAGAAUAAGCUCCGGCUAACUCCGUG
RNAcentral lists this ribosomal RNA (433 nucleotides) under uncultured bacterium. Its description in RNAcentral is "partial 16S ribosomal RNA". It matches the Rfam family "Bacterial small subunit ribosomal RNA", at positions 29 to 507 of the family's 1533-position model. The record is from RNAcentral.